Molecule: unclassified non-coding RNA, 184 nt
Filed under: uncultured Inocybe
Lineage: Eukaryota; Fungi; Basidiomycota; Agaricomycetes; Agaricales; Cortinariaceae
Description: sequence contains ITS2
Source: RNAcentral
AAACUCUCAAACCACAUCAUUCGUUUGACGUGGCUUUGGACGUGGGGGUUGCCGGCUUUCUUCAGCCUGCUCCUCUGAAAAGCAUUAGUGGUAUCUGGAGUGGAAAAACCGCUAGGUGUGAUAAUACUGUCUAUGCCUUUGGUUUAUGCCGCAUGUGCUGCUUCCAACUGCACAUUUUUGACAA